UGGCUCCUGCAGUAACUGAGUGGCAUCUUGCUGCAGAAUAAGGUAUGGAAAGCCCCUUGCUGAGAACUCUUGCCUUCCAAACAGCACUGAACACCUGACCAUGGUCAGAUGUGGCUGAGAUCUGCAGACAGAUGUCCAAAAAGUAUUUUCCUCCGGAUUGCUUCUCCUGGAAGGAUACUUCAUCCAGCCCCACUGUCGCUAUUCAUAUGCACAUGGGACUUUAAAAUAAUAACUUACGAGUGAACUCUUGAUUGCCUGUUGGAGCUCGGAUGAAGCUACCUUGAUGUAUGUCUGGAUGUCCUCCAGUGACCAUCUGGUGCUGCUUAGCUGUACCUUCUCGCCCUGAAAUGAGAUCAUCCAGGGAAGGAGCCAACAAGUUCUCGUGGCCGUUGGUCUCUGGCUUGGAUGUGUAACAAAGAGUUCCUGGAGUAAGAGAGGUAAAUGAAAUCGAGAUACUAGUCAGUGCUUUUGUGA
RNAcentral lists this long non-coding RNA (474 nucleotides) under Dromaius novaehollandiae (emu). Its description in RNAcentral is "lncRNA (ENSDNVG00000015653.1)". The record is from RNAcentral. Lineage: Eukaryota; Metazoa; Chordata; Aves; Casuariiformes; Dromaiidae.